This is a non-coding RNA of Kogia breviceps (pygmy sperm whale), 908 nucleotides long. NCBI's taxonomy places the organism in Eukaryota, Metazoa, Chordata, Mammalia, Artiodactyla, Physeteridae. The record is from RefSeq and is a predicted model, not a curated record.
GGGCACAAGUACCAGACUAGAACCGGUGACUUCUCAGCCACCUGGGUUCUCUGCACACACAGGAAAUAAGACCAGAGGUGGAGAUAAAAGUAGAAAUAGAUCUGCUCUUCUAGCUGCUGCCCAUUCGUCUUCUGGAGCCAGCUGGGUCGGAAGAGAAGGGCCAACAGUGCCUUUGCUCCUGUGGCUUUCCCCUUUCCCAGUUCCACAUGACAGGAUCUGGGCCAGUAUCACAGUUGUUGGCACAGACGCCCUGUUUUCCUCCACUUCCUAGAAUGGCUCCUCAUUAUUGAUUCUCACUACAUGAUGGUGAGUUCUGGAUUGAGACAUGCUCAUUUUGAGCUGCUUGAACAGCAAGCUGAAACAUGAAACUAGAAGAAACCUUAGGAUGAUAGCAAAACGAAUAAAAAUUAAAUUCUUAGAUUGUUUGCCACUGUACCAAACACGUGCAAAGAGCACUCCUUUUCAAGAAAGAAAGACCUAAAACCAACACAACCAAAAUUUAAAUACUACUUUUGCCAUGUGAAAUUGUCUAAUCAGCCUCAUUUUCGUCUAUUGACAUCAUCAUCUUCUGUUUGUUCUGAUGCUUCAUUUUUAGUAUCUCUAUGGGCUUAUGAAAGCAGAAAGAUUGCCUGGGUUGGAACAAGCUUCUCUACCAUUUCCUAUGUGCCCGUUCUCAACCAAAAUAAAUCAGCGCAAAUACCAGUGUCUGCUCCUUACCAGACCUUUGAGACCUGCUUGGAAGAAAAAGGAAGGUAUAUCUUAUCAGGCUAGCUGAAAUCAACAAGCCAGGACACCCUUCAACAAUAGUAGUGUUGCCCUUUGGAGUCAGAGGACAUCUUUCUUAGCAUUACCUUUGAGAGUUGAUUGGCCAGACCAUUCUCAGCACAUAACCUGUGAGUUCCAGUGAU